Molecule: long non-coding RNA, 1223 nt
Organism: Xenopus laevis (African clawed frog)
Lineage: Eukaryota; Metazoa; Chordata; Amphibia; Anura; Pipidae
Exons: 3
Source: RefSeq, a predicted model, not a curated record
GCCUUAUUACUCUCAUUUGAAACCUUUUGCAGGCCGAGCGGCAAUGUGGGCGUGGCUUGGAGACUGCGUCACGCUGCCUGUCUUCAGCAGGCGAGUGAAAGGUUGGAAGAUGGCGGCGUGAGGUGUUGGAGAGGCCCCGCUGGGCCCCGGGAAAUCGGGGCCAAUGAACUCGUAAACUGGGCCACUGUUCUACCCUCCCUGCACGAGAAGAAGAGCAGCAGCAGCACGAUACAAAUCCUACAUGGAUAAUCCCAGAGCUCCCGCAUGCUCCUGGCCCAGACGUUGAUUGAUCCUGCAGAUGCUUGCUGCAGUGUCUUGAAGGUCAGGGGAAGAUCAGAUGACUCGGGGGCCCCGCACAAUACUCUGGUACCUGCUUAUUAAAUGAGUUAUGAAGCCCUUCCUUGUUGGAUUUGGGACGUGGCCCCUUGUUAAAUUUGACCUGUUAUAAUGAGAUCUUGAACCUGAAAGCCAAGAAUUCUGUACCAAAUGAAAUGUGCAGCUUUACCAGUGAACGCACGGGUGUCUCAUGCCAAUUACAAUCCCACAUUUUUGGGGUUUUUUUCUCAGUCAUUUUUGCUUUUCUCAUUGAGGAAUGCAGAUAUGAACACUGUUUAUUUCAACAAAUCCAUGAAUCUAAAGGCUUAAUCAUUUGCGGUGUUGUUUCUCGAUUCUGUCAUCCUUAAAGAGAAGCAGCUGUAUUGGGAAAGAAAGGCCCUGAUGUCUGACAGUUUGUCAUUAAAGGAACGGAGAGAAAAUGCAAGCGUUUACUUAAAUCAGAUGGACUAUGAGACCUUCCAUUUAUACUCAAUUUCACAAAUCUUUUUUUUUUUUCUCAGUUUCUCGAUCUUUCUUAACCAUGAGAUCUGGACGGCACAGACUUGCAACGUUUCCACUUUUAUAUGAAGGUAAUAUAUUUAGGACAGUGCAGUUGCGUGUUUUUCUACAUCCGAGACCUCAAAUGAAACAAAAUCCAUCAUGGCCGUUUACUGAUGCAUCUUGUGAUCUCUCAUGAAGAUGGAAAGAGAAGUACUUUUCAUCGAGCGUUGGGAAGACUUGUACAAAAGCAAAUGAGCCAAAAUACGGCCCCUAAAAAAUGUGUAUUUUUACUCCUUACCGGAGACAAAAAACCAAAAAGAAAACAGCUUUUUGAUUUUAAACUUUGAGUUUUUUUGUACUUCAGAUUCAUCUUUGCAUAUUGGGUAUGUAUUAAAUAGGAGCUGAGA